RNAcentral lists this ribosomal RNA (503 nucleotides) under uncultured bacterium. Its description in RNAcentral is "partial 16S ribosomal RNA". It matches the Rfam family "Bacterial small subunit ribosomal RNA", at positions 30 to 523 of the family's 1533-position model. The record is from RNAcentral.
AUUGAACGCUGGCGGCAGGCUUAACACAUGCAAGUCGAGCGGGGUGAUGGUGCUUGCACUAUCACUUAGCGGCGGACGGGUGAGUAAUGCUUAGGAAUCUGCCUAUUAGUGGGGGACAACAUCUCGAAAGGGAUGCUAAUACCGCAUACGUCCUACGGGAGAAAGCAGGGGAUCACUUGUGACCUUGCGCUAAUAGAUGAGCCUAAGUCGGAUUAGCUAGUUGGUGGGGUAAAGGCCUACCAAGGCGACGAUCUGUAGCGGGUCUGAGAGGAUGAUCCGCCACACGGGGACUGAGACACGGCCCAGACUCCUACGGGAGGCAGCAGUGGGGAAUAUUGGACACUGGGGGGAACCCUGAUCCAGCCAUGCCGCGUGUGUGAAGGAGGCCUUAUGGUUGUAAAGCACUUUAAGCGAGGAGGAGGCUCUUUUGGUUAAUACCCAAGAUGAGUGGACGUUACUCGCAGAAUAAGCACCGGCUAACUCUGUGCCAGCAGCCGCCGUAA